This 699-nucleotide ribosomal RNA is filed under the name uncultured bacterium. RNAcentral describes it as "partial 16S ribosomal RNA". The record is from RNAcentral.
ACGGCUACCUUGUUACGACUUCACCCCAGUCGCUGACCUUACCGUGGUCGGCUGCCUCCUUGCGGUUAGCUCACCGGCUUCGGGUAAAACCAACUCCCAUGGUGUGACGGGCGGUGUGUACAAGGCCCGGGAACGUAUUCACCGCGGCGUGCUGAUCCGCGAUUACUAGCGAUUCCACCUUCAUGCACUCGAGUUGCAGAGUACAAUCCGAACUGAGACGGCUUUUGGGGAUUGGCUCCGGGUUGCCCCUUCGCUGCCCGCUGUCACCGCCAUUGUAGCACGUGUGUAGCCCAGCCCGUAAGGGCCAUGAGGACUUGACGUCAUCCCCGCCUUCCUCCGGCUUAUCACCGGCAGUUUCCCCAAAGUGCCCGGCCGAACCGAUGGCAACUGAGGACGAGGGUUGCGCUCGUUGCGGGACUUAACCCAACAUCUCACGACACGAGCUGACGACAGCCAUGCAGCACCUGUGCUCCGUCCAGCCGAACUGAAGGAUUCAGUCUCCAGAAUCCGCGACGGACAUGUCAAGGGCUGGUAAGGUUCUGCGCGUUGCUUCCAAUUAAACCACAUGCUCCACCGCUUGUGCGGGCCCCCGUCAAAUCCUUUGAGUUUUAAUCUUGCGACCGCACUCCCCAGGUGGGGUGGUUAAGGUGUUAACUGCCCCACUGAGAAAACUAGGUUUCCCCACCGCUAACACACAUC